UGGCAGGAUCGAUGGAGCAAGUGUGUGUGUGCGCAAGGGUCCUACUUUGAAGGUGAUUAGGAUCUGCAACAAUGCUCACCUAGAUGCAGUAUUCAAGAGGCAGUUGGAGGUAGUUCUUGAGUUCUAUGAACUCUUUUUAGGACAACUACAUUUAAGGAUGUCCUUGGAAAUCAGAAAUCUACCACCUAUGCCAGCUAACUACAGAUUCAGGUCAAGGCUUAUUCUGGAGGAGAAUUUAAAGGCAGUAGAUACAAAUAGUCUCCUUGUUUUAGAUAUAUUCUAUUUCCUCAGACAUACACCUGUUUUUGAUAAGCACAUCAACUGUGCUAAAAAUGUACGUGUAUUUGUUGCUUGUUAUUGCAGUUUGCCAUCAUUGACGGGCACCAAAAGUGUGUAGUUAAGUUUUCCAUAAAAAAAACAUUUUCCAGAUGAUUUGUUUAGUAGAAGCUCCAUUAGUGGUACUCCAUACUGUUCAAUUUAGAGCACUUGCGAAUGUUUUAUUGACAGUUUCCAUAUGUCAUUUUACCUUUUUUGUAUUUUCUUAGCAAGUGUGAAGCUAACAUGCCAAACUGCCAUAUCCAGUUACUUAGUCAUUAACUAACUAACUCACUCACUGAAAUGGUCUGCAGUUUGUUACAUGAAAUUUAAUGUUUAUAUUGCAGUGACAUUUUAUUGCAUAUUAAAAGUUAAGGUGCCUAGAGCUACCACAUUUCAGUGUGUUAAAUGUGACAUCUGUUUUG
Molecule: non-coding RNA, 740 nt
Organism: Zootermopsis nevadensis
Lineage: Eukaryota; Metazoa; Arthropoda; Insecta; Blattodea; Termopsidae
Source: RefSeq, a predicted model, not a curated record